Long non-coding RNA from Helianthus annuus (common sunflower), 463 nucleotides. RefSeq lists it as uncharacterized. The record is from RefSeq and is a predicted model, not a curated record. The transcript is spliced from 3 exons. NCBI's taxonomy places the organism in Eukaryota, Viridiplantae, Streptophyta, Magnoliopsida, Asterales, Asteraceae.
UGUUUCUGAUGCAUUGAAGUUUCUUUUUGUUAUCAGAGAACUAGUUUUGCUCUUGCAUCCGAACUUCCUAGUGGCUGGCUUAAGGAGAAAGAAGCCACGACGUUGACAGUUCUUCAGAAGACAAGCAGCCAUCAUGGUGAUGUGCAAGUGUGGUAGAGCAGCAUUGAUGAAGACAUUGAAGACCUCCAAAAACCCUGAACGGAGAUUUUAUACAUGUCCACAAAUGAGUUAGGGUUUCAUAAACCCCCAAAUCACAGUUCAGUCAUUGAAGUCAGAUUUGAAGAAUUGAAGCAUGAAAUUAGAAGAAAGGAUGCUGCAUUAGUGAUGAGUUGGUGUAUACUUGUUGGCCUUUUAGUGUUAAUCCUUGUAGUUGUUUUGAUCAGUCUUCUUUUGAAGCCUUCAUAAUGUUAAUCUAUUAAUGAAAUGUGAGGGCUGUGUUUUGUUUGUAAUGAGGUGUGUUUUG